RNAcentral lists this long non-coding RNA (213 nucleotides) under Elaeis guineensis (African oil palm). RNAcentral describes it as "long non-coding RNA (EGUI_LNC069900)". The record is from RNAcentral. Lineage: Eukaryota; Viridiplantae; Streptophyta; Magnoliopsida; Arecales; Arecaceae.
CAGUGGUGUGAGUGGUCCUUUGACCUGUGGUGUCAUUGGCUAUUCACAACAAGGCUACUGGGUUUAACUGCAUCUUCUCUUGGUCCCUAGCCAUUUAGGUGCUUGCUGUGUAUGUUAGCUUCAGUAGGUUCAGAUUCAUUAUUUGGAGUAGGAUGCACUUAGAUUGGAUCUAUCGAUUUUGAUAGAAAAAGAGAAGUCCUAUGCAAUUUGUGA